RNAcentral lists this ribosomal RNA (354 nucleotides) under uncultured bacterium. Its description in RNAcentral is "bacterial SSU rRNA". It matches the Rfam family "Bacterial small subunit ribosomal RNA", at positions 917 to 1271 of the family's 1533-position model. The record is from RNAcentral.
GGACCCGCACAAGCGGUGGAGUAUGUGGCUUAAUUCGAUGCAACGCGAAGAACCUUACCUAGGCUUGACAUGUAUUGCUAAGCACGUGAAAGCGUGUGACUCUUCGGAGACCUUACACAGGUGCUGCAUGGCCGUCGUCAGCUCGUGUCGUGAGAUGUUUGGUUAAGUCCAGCAACGAGCGCAACCCCUGUGGAUAGUUGCCAGCACGUAAUGGUGGGGACUCUAUCCAGACUGCCCAGGUCAACUGGGAGGAAGGUGGGGAUGACGUCAGGUCAGUAUGGCCCUUACGCCUAGGGCUGCACACGUACUACAAUGCCCAGUACAAUGAGAACCGAGACCGCGAGGUGGAGGAAA